CGGAUGUAGCCAAGUGGAUCAAGGCAGUGGAUUGUGAANCC
RNAcentral lists this transfer RNA (41 nucleotides) under Urtica triangularis subsp. trichocarpa. Its description in RNAcentral is "partial tRNA-His". The record is from RNAcentral. Lineage: Eukaryota; Viridiplantae; Streptophyta; Magnoliopsida; Rosales; Urticaceae.